UCGCGCGGCGGUGGGGCGCGUGACCGGGUCACGCGCCCGGCCCCGCGUGGGGCGAGGUCACAUGGACGGUUCCGCGCGCCGCCCCGCGCGGU
Molecule: transfer RNA, 92 nt
Filed under: Streptomyces matensis
Lineage: Bacteria; Bacillati; Actinomycetota; Actinomycetes; Kitasatosporales; Streptomycetaceae
Also listed under: 1 other name
Description: tRNA-Arg
Source: RNAcentral